This 1049-nucleotide ribosomal RNA is filed under the name Furtadomyces sumptuosus. RNAcentral describes it as "partial large subunit ribosomal RNA". It matches the Rfam family "Eukaryotic large subunit ribosomal RNA", at positions 1 to 1106 of the family's 3401-position model. The record is from RNAcentral. Lineage: Eukaryota; Fungi; Basidiomycota; Agaricomycetes; Polyporales; Polyporaceae.
UUUUUUUUUUUUUCUCUUUUUUUCUCCCCCAUAUAACACAUCAAUAAGCGGAGGAAAAGAAACUACCCAGGGGUCCCCUAGUAACUGCGAGUGAAGCGGGAAAAGCUCAAAUUUAAAAUCUGGCGGUCUUUGGCCGUCCGAGUUGUAAUCUGGAGAAGUGCUUUCCGCGCUGGACCGUGUAUAAGUCUCUUGGAACAGAGCGUCAUAGAGGGUGAGAAUCCCGUCUUUGACACGGACUACCAGUGCUUUGUGAUGCGCUUUCAAAGAGUCGAGUUGUUUGGGAAUGCAGCUCAAAAUGGGUGGUGAAUUCCAUCUAAAGCUAAAUAUUGGCGAGAGACCGAUAGCGAACAAGUACCGUGAGGGAAAGAUGAAAAGCACUUUGGAAAGAGAGUUAAACAGUACGUGAAAUUGCUGAAAGGGAAACGCUUGAAGUCAGUCGCGUUGUCUGGGACUCAGCCUUGCUUUCGCUUGGUGCAUUUUCCAGAUGACGGGUCAGCAUUGAUUUUGACCGUCGGAAAAGGGCUGGAGUAAUGUGGCACCUUCGGGUGUGUUAUAGACUCUAGUCGCAUACGGCGGUUGGGAUUGAGGAACGCAGCGCGCCGUAAGGCAGGGGUUCGCCCACUUUCGCGCUUAGGAUGCUGGCAUAAUGGCUUUAAACGACCCGUCUUGAAACACGGACCAAGGAGUCUAACGUACCUGCGAGUGUUUGGGUGGAAAACCCGAGCGCGUAAUGAAAGUGAAAGUUGGGACCUCUGUCGUGGAGGGCACCGACGCCCGGACCUGACGUUUUCUGACGGAUCCGCGGUAGAGCAUGUAUGUUGGGACCCGAAAGAUGGUGAACUAUGCCUGAAUAGGGUGAAGCCAGAGGAAACUCUGGUGGAGGCUCGUAGCGAUUCUGACGUGCAAAUCGAUCGUCAAAUUUGGGUAUAGGGGCGAAAAGACUUAUUCAACCAUCUAGUAGCUGGUCUGCAUUUUCCCCCCCCAGAAAAAGAAAAAAAAAAAAAAACCCCCCCAAAAGGGGGAGAUAAAACCCUUUGCCCCCCUUCCCC